UACGUAGGGACCGAGCGUUGUCCGGAAUCAUUGGGCGUAAAGAGCGUGUAGGCGGCUUGCUAAGUCCUGCGUGAAAGCCCCGGGCUCAACCUGGGAAUUGCAUUCGAGACUGAAUAGCUAGGGUACGGUAGAGGGAAGUGGAAUUUCCGGUGUAGCGGUGAAAUGCGUAGAUAUCGGAAGGAACAUCAGUGGCGAAAGCGACUUCCUGGACCAGUACCGACGUUCAGGCACGAAAGCGUGGGGAGCAAACAGG
This 253-nucleotide ribosomal RNA is filed under the name uncultured bacterium. RNAcentral describes it as "partial 16S ribosomal RNA". It matches the Rfam family "Bacterial small subunit ribosomal RNA", at positions 524 to 776 of the family's 1533-position model. The record is from RNAcentral.